GACGAACGCUGGCGGCGUGCUUAACACAUGCAAGUCGAACGAUGAAGUUCCUUCGGGAAUGGAUUAGUGGCGAACGGGUGAGGAACACGUGAGAAACCUGCCUUUCAUUUUUGGAUAACUCCGGGAAACCGGGGCUAAAACCGAAUACUCCGUCUCGGCGGCAUCGCUGAGCCGGGAAAAAAUUUUGAUGAAAGAUGGUCUCGCGGCCUAUCAGCUAGUUGGUGAGGUAAUGGCUCACCACGGAAACGACGGGUAGCCGGCCUGAGAGGGCGACCGGCCACACUGGGACUGAGACACGGCCCAGACUCCUACGGGAGGCAGCAGUGGGGAAUAUUGGGCAAUGGGCGCAAGCCUGACCCAGCGACGCCGCGUGAGGGAUGAAGGCCUUCGGGUUGUAAACCUCUUUCAGUGGGGAAGAAGCGAAAGUGACGGUACCUAAAGAAGAAGCACCGGCUAACUAUGUGCCAGCCGCCGCCGUAA
RNAcentral lists this ribosomal RNA (480 nucleotides) under uncultured bacterium. Its description in RNAcentral is "partial 16S ribosomal RNA". It matches the Rfam family "Bacterial small subunit ribosomal RNA", at positions 28 to 523 of the family's 1533-position model. The record is from RNAcentral.